UUGGCUGGGGCGGCACAUCUGUUAAACGAUAACACAGGUGUCCUAAGGUUAGCUCAAUGAGAACAGAAAUCUCAUGUAGAACAAAAGGGUAAAAGCUAACUUGAUUUUGAUUUUCAGUACGAAUACAAACUGUGAAAGCAUGGCCUAUCGAUCCUUUAGUUCUUUUGGAUUUUAAGCUAGAG
RNAcentral lists this non-coding RNA (182 nucleotides) under Ectocarpus siliculosus. RNAcentral describes it as "Eukaryotic large subunit ribosomal RNA". It matches the Rfam family "Eukaryotic large subunit ribosomal RNA", at positions 2621 to 2802 of the family's 3401-position model. Lineage: Eukaryota; Phaeophyceae; Ectocarpales; Ectocarpaceae. The record is from Rfam by way of RNAcentral.